GACGAACGCUGGCGGCGUGCCUAAUACAUGCAAGUUGAGCGCUGAAGGUUGGUACUUGUACCGACUGGAUGAGCAGCGAACGGGUGAGUAACGCGUGGGGAAUCUGCCUUUGAGCGGGGGACAACAUUUGGAAACGAAUGCUAAUACCGCAUAAAAACUUUAAACACAAGUUUUAAGUUUGAAAGAUGCAAUUGCAUCACUCAAAGAUGAUCCCGCGUUGUAUUAGCUAGUUGGUGAGGUAAAGGCUCACCAAGGCGAUGAUACAUAGCCGACCUGAGAGGGUGAUCGGCCACAUUGGGACUGAGACACGGCCCAAACUCCUACGGGAGGCAGCAGUAGGGAAUCUUCGGCAAUGGACGAAAGUCUGACCGAGCAACGCCGCGUGAGUGAAGAAGGUUUUCGGAUCGUAAAACUCCGUUGGUAGAGAAGAACGUUGGUGAGAGUGGAAAGCUCAUCAAGUGACGGUAACUACCCAGAAAGGGACGGCUAACUACGUGCCAGCAGCCGCGGUAAUACGUAGGUCCCGAGCGUUGUCCGGAUUUAUUGGGCGUAAAGCGAGCGCAGGUGGUUUAUUAAGUCUGGUGUAAAAGGCAGUGGCUCAACCAUUGUAUGCAUUGGAAACUGGUAGACUUGAGUGCAGGAGAGGAGAGUGGAAUUC
RNAcentral lists this ribosomal RNA (658 nucleotides) under uncultured Lactococcus sp. RNAcentral's name for it is "bacterial SSU rRNA". It matches the Rfam family "Bacterial small subunit ribosomal RNA", at positions 28 to 669 of the family's 1533-position model. The record is from RNAcentral. Lineage: Bacteria; Bacillati; Bacillota; Bacilli; Lactobacillales; Streptococcaceae.